GGGAUUUACAGCUGUGGAUGUGUUUAUGACCCGUUAUUACGACGGAUCUGAAGACUUCGCCACAACGAGAUCCAGCGGCUUUUGAAGGUCUUCAUACCGCCAUGGCGGCCCAAGCCAGUCAGAUAGCGGCCAAUCAGUUCCAGCUGAAUCGUCUAACCACGAUCACGGAGGAGCUCGUCAAGGCCGUUCAGAAUCUCCAUACUGCUCCCACGGUUCCACCAACGCCGGAGGCAUCCGCCAUUGCCCACGUGUCAGGAAUGCCAUCUCAGGCCAAUCCGCGCCUUGCUUUCUCGGAUAAAUACAACGGUGACACCAGCAAGUGUAAGGAAUUUCUAUUGCAAUGCUCUCUGUUUGUGGAACAACAACCCUCACUGUACACUACGGAUACUGGGAAAAUCUCCUUUGUUUGUUCUCUAUUGACUGAGAAGGCACUCGAAUGGAUUACGGCCGUGUGGGGGUCCGAUGGAUCCACCUCCUUUCAAGAUUUCCUGCAGCAAUUCCGGGACAUAUUUGAUCAUCCUAAGGAGGGAAAGGGAGCUGGAGAUCGCUUACUGGAGUUGUCACAAGGCAGGAUGACGGCGGCGGAUUACGCUCUACGAUUUCGCACUCUGGCAGCACAAACUAACUGGGUAAUCUCAUCAUCUUCAUCGAGCUGACCAUAUCCAUUGACAACCUGCAACGUGCCCGGUGAUCCAAUUCCCGUCACACUGUGCACCCAGCAUUCUUGCCUGCUCAGGAAUCUACUGAACCCAUGCAGGUUAACACUUACCAUCUAUCUACGGAGGAGAGAGAUCGACGCAUUUCCAAUAGAUUGUGCAUGUAUUGUGGACUACCCGGCCAUCAACGCCAUAACUGUCCUACUCGUACGUCAACCUUCUCUCAGCGCUCGGUGAGUACUCCCCUCACUUCCAUGUGUGAUACCCAGAGUGUAAGCAUUCCUGUUGAGUUUUGGAUUAAUGAUAGACAAGUUGUCACCUCUGCCUUACUCGAUUCCGGGGCUGCUGUUAACUUUAUCUCUGAAGAAUUCACUAAGAGGUAUAACGUUCAACUUAUCCCAUGCUCUACCUCUCUCUCAGUGGAAACAAUAGAUGGUCGACCACUCUGCUCUGGGUCCAUCACUCAUCUCACCCACAAGGUUGUUAUGGCGGCUGGUUUAUUGCACAAGGAGAGGAUCCAAUUCUACAUCCUCCCCAUCUCACACACUAGUGAUUCUUGGAUUACCUUGGCUACGUCUACAUAACCCCCAAAUCUCAUGGAGAGAGGGUCAAGUGGUGAAAUGGAGCAAUUUCUGUCAACAGAACUGUCUUUCCCUGGUCAAACCUAUUCCUGUCUGUUCCGUGUCCCUUACCUCCACUCUGCCAGGGGAAUACACAGACCUUCUGGAGGCCUUCAGUAAGAAACAGGCCAACACCUUACCUCCUCACCGCAAGUAUGACUGUGCAAUCGAUCUUCUACCAGGGCAUUCUCCUCCAAAGGGUCACAUCUUUCCAUUGUCUCAACCUGAGUCUGACGCUAUGAAGGAUUGGAUUACAUCAAGGAGGAGCUCCAAAAAGGGUUCACCACCAUACUCACCAUCAUAGAUCAGGCUCAUGUUCACCUGCAACACGCCGUAAGGAGGCAGAAGGAGCAGGCGGACCGCAGAAGGCACCCAGGUCACAAUUAUCAGCCAGGCCAGUGGGUAUGGCUAUCCACAAGGGAUCUCCAUCUCCGGCUCCCAUGCCGCAAGUUGAGUCCAAGCCUGCUGCUGGUCCCAGAGACGAGCCUACAGUAUCUGGUCGACUGGGAGGGGUACGGUCCAAAAGAACGCUUGUGGGUGAACUCGGAGGACAUCCUAGAUCCCAAUCUUUUCAAUGAGUUUCACCGUCUACAUCCUGGUAAACCGGCCCCUCGACCCCGUGGUAGACCCCGACGUUGUGUGCCUCCUCGCGCCAGGAGUCGCUCGCGGGGGGGUGGUUGGGCUCUGUCACAGAGACGAACCCCGUGAUUCCCUCUGCUGGCCAGCGGAGGGCACCCUCAUCUGAAUACUGACACACACGCAUCCAUUCAUUCACUUACACUGACGACACUACAUUUCCCACAAGCCCCAUCCUUGGACUCUGAUCACCUGUACAGGUCAUCGUCAUCAUUGUGUAUGUGUAUUUAAGCUGGACUUCCACCACAGUUCAAACGCGAAGUCUUGAUUUGCUGUGUCUGUCAUUUCUGAGCGUUAUUACCCCUGUUUGAUUUCCUGUUACCGAUUCUGCCUGUUAUCUCUACGUACCUCUGCUGCCUGCCUACUGACCACUUGCUUGUUACUGGAUUACUGAUUCUCUGUUCUGCCCACUCUGUUGAUAUUGCUGGUUCCGACCAUUGCCUGUAUGACUACGAGCCUUUAUAAUAAAGCCUGCAUUAUGGAUCUUAUGUCGAGUUCUGGUUCAUUGCAACAUUUUUCUGGUUUAAUUGCGAUAAGAUUUUUUUCUAGAUCCUACAUUAUAUUUAUAUUUUGACCACAC
Long non-coding RNA from Carassius auratus (goldfish), 2492 nucleotides. RefSeq lists it as uncharacterized. The transcript has 3 exons. NCBI's taxonomy places the organism in Eukaryota, Metazoa, Chordata, Actinopteri, Cypriniformes, Cyprinidae. The record is from RefSeq and is a predicted model, not a curated record.